RNAcentral lists this ribosomal RNA (292 nucleotides) under uncultured bacterium. Its description in RNAcentral is "partial 16S ribosomal RNA". It matches the Rfam family "Bacterial small subunit ribosomal RNA", at positions 505 to 796 of the family's 1533-position model. The record is from RNAcentral.
GUGCCAGCCGCCGCGGUAAUACAGAGGUCUCAAGCGUUGUUCGGAUUCAUUGGGCGUAAAGGGUGCGUAGGCGGCGAAGCAAGUCAGAUGUGAAAUCCCGGGGCUUAACCCCGGAACUGCAUUUGAUACUGCUUUGCUUGAGGACUGGAGAGGAGAUCGGAAUUCACGGUGUAGCAGUGAAAUGCGUAGAUAUCGUGAGGAAGGCCAGUGGCGAAGGCGGAUCUCUGGACAGUUCCUGACGCUGAGGCACGAAGGCCAGGGGAGCAAACGGGAUUAGAUACCCCCGUAGUCC